RNAcentral lists this ribosomal RNA (1423 nucleotides) under uncultured bacterium. Its description in RNAcentral is "bacterial SSU rRNA". It matches the Rfam family "Bacterial small subunit ribosomal RNA". The record is from RNAcentral.
GAUAAACGCUGGCGGCGCACAUAAGACAUGCAAGUCGAACGAACUUAACCAUUAGUUUACUAUUGGAGCGGUUAGUGGCGGACUGGUGAGUAACACGUAAGCAACCUGCCUAUCAGAGGGGAACAACAGUUAGAAAUGACUGCUAAUACCGCAUAUGCCUUGAGUAUCGCAUGAUACAAAAGGGAAAGGAGCAAUCCGCUGAUAGAUGGGCUUGCGUCUGAUUAGAUAGUUGGUGGGGUAAAGGCCUACCAAGUCGACGAUCAGUAGCCGGACUGAGAGGUUGAACGGCCACAUUGGGACUGAGAUACGGCCCAGACUCCUACGGGAGGCAGCAGUCGGGAAUAUUGCGCAAUGGAGGAAACUCUGACGCAGUGACGCCGCGUGCAGGAAGAAGGUUUUCGGAUUGUAAACUGCUUUAGACAGGGAUGAUAAUGACAGUACCUGUAAAAUAAGCUCCGGCUAACUACGUGCCAGCAGCCGCGGUAAUACGUAGGGAGCAAGCGUUAUCCGGAUUUAUUGGGUGUAAAGGGUGCGUAGACGGGAAGGCAAGUUGGUUGUGAAAUCCCUCGGCUUAACUGAGGAACUGCAACCAAAACUAUCUUUCUUGAGUGCUGGAGAGGAAAGUGGAAUUCCUAGUGUAGCGGUGAAAUGCGUAGAUAUUAGGAGGAACACCAGUGGCGAAGGCGACUUUCUGGACAGUAACUGACGUUGAGGCACGAAAGUGUGGGGAGCAAACAGGAUUAGAUACCCUGGUAGUCCACACCGUAAACGAUGGAUACUAGGUGUAGGGGAUGAAUAAUCUUCUGUGCCGUCGCAAACGCAGUAAGUAUCCCACCUGGGGAGUACGGCCGCAAGGUUGAAACUCAAAGGAAUUGACGGGGGCCCGCACAAGCAGUGGAGUAUGUGGUUUAAUUCGACGCAACGCGAAGAACCUUACCAGGGCUUGACAUAUAGAGGAAUAUAGCAGAGAUGUUAUAGCUCUUCGGAGUCUCUAUACAGGUGGUGCAUGGUUGUCGACAGCUCGUGUCGUGAGAUGUUGGGUUAAGUCCCGCAACGAGCGCAACCCCUGUUCUUAGUUGCCAGCGAGUAGAGUCGGGAACUCUAAGAAGACUGCCGGUGAUAAAUCGGAGGAAGGUGGGGACGACGUCAAAUCAUCAUGCCCUUUAUGUCCUGGGCUACACACGUACUACAAUGGCUGUAACAAAGGGAAGCGAAGCCGCGAGGUGGAGCGAAACCCAAAAAAGCAGUCUCAGUUCGGAUUGAAGGCUGAAAUUCGCCUUCAUGAAGCCGGAAUUGCUAGUAAUGGCAGGUCAGCAUACUGCCGUGAAUACGUUCCCGGGCCUUGUACACACCGCCCGUCACACCAUGAGAGUUGGGAAUACCUGAAGCCUGUGAGCUAACAAUAUGAGGCAGCAGUCGAAGG